UACGGUCUGAACAAUGUGCUUCAGAAGAUUCCACAGCACUUGUUCGCGUUUACUUCUGAACGAACCGGCUAGCCAUCUCAAAGAAGAAUUGCCACGCACCAAAUUAGCUGGCGGUAAACCACCGGUGAAGGCGGCGAAAGCCAGUAGCUCAGAUAUAGUGCAAUGGAAUAGGUAUAUCACCCAACACAUGCGUCAAGGAGAAUGCGAUUCAGCAUUGAGCUUAUUCAACUCUAUGCCUACAAAGUCCUGUGUAUCGUGGAACGCAAUGAUUUCUGGUUACUUAUUGAAUGGCAAACUGGACCUCGCUCAGAAGCUGUUUGACGAAAUGCCUCACAGAGACUUGGUUUCCUGGAACAUUAUGCUUAGUGGGUACAUUAAGAAUAAGAAUUUUGGGGCAGCUAAGAUUUUGUUUGAUCAAAUGCCUGUUAGAGAUGUUGUGUCGUGGAAUGCAUUGCUUUCCGGGUAUGCACAGAAUGGGUAUGUUGAUGAUGCUAGAAGUAUCUUUCUCAUGAUGCCUGUGAAGAAUGAUAUCUCUUGGAAUGGACUUCUCGCUACGUAUGUUCAGAAUGGGAGGAUUGAGGAGGCCAGGAAAUUGUUUGAGUCAAAGGUUAAUUGGCCGUUGGUUUCUUGGAAUUGCUUGUUGGGUGGGUAUUUGAGAAAGAGGAUGUUGCCCCAGGCAAAAGUGCUCUUCGAUAGAAUGCCUGUUAAGGAUCAGGUCUCAUGGAACACGAUAAUCUCUUGUUAUGCCCAGAAUGAUGAUUUGGAGGAAGCGAGGAAGUUAUUCGAUGAGUCACCUAAUAAAGAUGUGUUUACAUGGACUUCAAUGCUUUCUGGUUAUGUACAGAAUGGGAUGGUAGAUGAGGCUAGGAGGAUCUUCAAUGAGAUGCCUGAAAAGAAUGAGGUUUCAUGGAAUGCAAUGAUUGCAGGAUAUGUGCAGUCUAAUAGGAUGGACUUGGCGAGGGAAUUCUUUGAGGCAAUGCCCUGUAAGAACGUCAGCUCUUGGAACACAAUGAUAACAGGUUAUGCUCAAAAUGGGGAUAUAACUCAUGCCAGAAAUUUGUUUGAUUGUAUGCCUAAUCGUGAUUGCAUCUCUUGGGCAGCAAUUAUUGCUGGGUAUGCUCAAAGUGGCAACAGUGAGGAGGCAUUGCACAUGUUUGUUCAAAUGAAGAGAGAUGGUGGGAGGAUAAAUAGGUCGGCAUUUACUUGUGUUUUGAGUACAUCUGCUGACAUUGCUGCAUUCGAGUUCGGAAAGCAAAUACAUGGACGACUUGUCAAGGCUGGAUAUCACACUGGGUGUUAUGUAGGAAAUGCACUCCUAUCAAUGUACUGUAAGUGUGGAAGUAUUGACGAGGCAUAUGACGUGUUCGAGGAGAUAGCGGAGAAGGAUGCUGUCUCUUGGAACACUAUGAUCAUCGGUUAUGCAAGGCAUGGUUUUGGCAAACAAGCUCUUAGACAAUUCAAAUCAAUGAAAGAAGCGGGUAUCAGACCUGAUGAUGUCACCAUGGUUGGUGUAUUAUCUGCUUGCGGCCAUACCGGCUUGAUUGACAAGGGCAUGGAACACUUUUACUCAAUGGGUCGAGUUUAUGGAAUAGCUACAAAUCCCAGGCAUUAUACUUGCAUGAUUGACCUUCUGGGUCGAGCUGGGCGACUGGAUGAUGCUCAAAAUCUAAUGAAGGACAUGCCUUGUGAACCAGAUGCUGCUACUUGGGGUGCUCUCCUUGGGGCAAGUAGGAUUCACGGAAACAUUGAAUUAGGAGAAAAGGCUGCUGAAAUGAUUUUCAGAUUAGAGCCUUGGAAUGCAGGGAUGUAUGUCCUUCUCUCAAAUUUAUAUGCAGCUUCUGGCAGAUGGCGUGACGUUAGCAAGAUGAGAUUAAAAAUGAGGGAUACAGGUGUAAGGAAAAUGCCUGGUUACAGCUGGGUUGAGGUGCAAAAUCAGAUACAUCUUUUUUCAGUUGGUGAUACCAUGCAUCCAGACAGCAAGAGAAUAUAUGCUUUCUUGGAAGAGUUAGAAUUACUAAUGAAGCAGGAGGGUUAUGUCUCUGCCACGAAAUUGGUCCUGCAUGAUGUGGAUGAAGAGGAGAAGGCGCACAUGCUCAAGUAUCAUAGCGAAAAAUUAGCCGUUGCCUUUGCAAUUCUAAAUGUACCAUCUGGGAGAUCAAUUCGUGUGAUGAAAAAUUUAAGGGUUUGUGGAGAUUGUCAUACUGCAAUCAAACUCAUAUCAAAGAUUGUGGGUAGAUUGAUUAUUGUUCGGGAUAGUAAUCGUUUUCAUCACUUCAGUGAAGGUGUUUGUACCUGUGGAGACUAUUGGUAGUACUAGAGUGUGAAAGUCAACUAGAUUUUAGCCGCAGUAAUUCUUAGCUAUUUUGCUGGCCAUCUCCAUAACUGUUGAGGAAUUACUGUAGUUGUUGCACACGAGAAAGCAAAGCACGGACACUUCCUUUUUAGUUCUUCCUCUAUCCAGGAUACAUGAGAAACUUUUAUCUGAAGCAACAGCACAGAAGAGGGAUAAGUGGAUAAACCCUUUCUUGUUGUUUGGUGAAUUUGGUACGUAUAAUCUGUGAUCUCCUCAUUGAUGUUGGUAAAAAGAGAUAUGCUGAGAUAUAUGGCCAUAAUUCUUGCACUUACGCACCAUAGAACAAAGGGAGGAGUAAUAGUUUCCUUACGAUUCUCUGAGAUCUGAUAGUCAGAAUAGAGUGAGGUGAAUUUGUAGGAGGGUUUAGCAAUUGUGCAUUUAAAAUAAGUCAUGUACCACUUCAAGAGUACUUUGGUCCUCUGUUCUCGGGUGAGAGAUUCUUGAUUGGCUCCUUCCUCCUGUCUGGCCCAAACACAUGACAGUGACUGUUUGAUCAUAAACCAUAAAUCUGCUCUACACUAAGCUCACUGACUGAUUUCCUGCUUCUUUGAGCCCCACUAGCUAAGUGUGGCCCAGCAUUUACACAUAGUGGAACUCUCCUCAAAAUCUGCUUACUACCAGAACUUAUACAACAACAACAAAAACAUACCCAAUGAAAUCCCACAAGUGGGGUGUGGGGAGGUAGAGUAUAUGCAGACCUUACCUCUACCUCGUGGAGGUAGAAAGGCUGUUUCCGGAGGACCUUGGCUUGAGUAUAUCAAAUCAAAGUAGGUAUGAAAAGGAAAAAAACGACAGUGUAGAAAACAUAGCCACUUGUCAAGGACUACCAAAACUUAUGCUAUCUAAGAUUACCCUGGCCCUAAGUUAACCUCAUCUGCGGCCACGAGAAAAGUAAUAAUCUUUCCUGGAUAUAGUGAAGAGCACAUGUAUUGGAUGACUAGACAAUCACCAAACUCACUUGUAGUUUGUACUAGUAUCCUUCUGAGUUUUGAGAGCAAAAGGAAGAAAGGAGUUAUACUUCGAAGUCCAAACACACUGAACAGAAUGGUGGAAAAAGCAACAUUGCCUGAAGGUAGAAAAUACUUUUAUCAGUUAAGUGGAUCCAAUGGGACAAUUUUGGGUACGGAUGUGAACAUGUCUGCUCGAGCCACUUUAUCAUUCCAUUCAGAGACCAUACAGUUUGACACAGGGAGGUUAGACAUGUAAAUCUACAUAAAUUUGGAAUAGUGUAAAUAUAGGUCUUUUACCGGUGAAUGUUCUAUUCUAUUUCUAUCAAAAAGUAUAAAGCAGAAAAUUCAGCUGAAGAUUAGCGGCAUAUGAAACUACUGUAUCAUCUAGUUUAUACAGAGAUAUUCAAAUAUUUGGAAAAUAGAGUU
RNA transcript from Solanum dulcamara, 3729 nucleotides. It is a transcript of the gene named pentatricopeptide repeat-containing protein At4g02750, with no coding region annotated. The transcript has 3 exons. Lineage: Eukaryota; Viridiplantae; Streptophyta; Magnoliopsida; Solanales; Solanaceae. The record is from RefSeq and is a predicted model, not a curated record.